Molecule: ribosomal RNA, 253 nt
Filed under: uncultured bacterium
Lineage: Bacteria
Description: partial 16S ribosomal RNA
Rfam family: Bacterial small subunit ribosomal RNA
Source: RNAcentral
UACAUAGGGUGCAAGCGUUGUCCGGAAUUAUUGGGCGUAAAGAGCUCGUAGGUGGUUUGUUACGUCGGUUGUGAAAUUCAGGGGCUCAACCCCUGACUUGCAGCCGAUACGGGCAAGCUAGAGUUUGGUAGGGGAGACUGGAAUUCCUGGUGUAGCGGUGGAAUGCGCAGAUAUCAGGAGGAACACCGAUGGCGAAGGCAGGUCUCUGGGCCAAUACUGACACUGAGGAGCGAAAGCGUGGGGAGCGAACAGG